Notolabrus celidotus (New Zealand spotty) is the source of this 1588-nucleotide long non-coding RNA. RefSeq lists it as uncharacterized. NCBI's taxonomy places the organism in Eukaryota, Metazoa, Chordata, Actinopteri, Labriformes, Labridae. The transcript has 6 exons. The record is from RefSeq and is a predicted model, not a curated record.
GUCCCGAGUCUCUGACACCGUUAUUUUUGGGGUCCUGGGCUGAAAAGUUUGUGAACCCCUGAGUUAACUAUAACAAUUACUUAGUUUUUUAAGGCUUUAGCCCACUAUUCAGUACAUCCACUACAUUUAAAUACUAUGAUUAUCUAUUCUGCUGUUUUUUGCUAACAGUCCUCUGUAGGUCAUCUUGAAGAUCUUUUAUUUACAGACAUGUUCACCCCACAACCUGUUUAUUCCUGUGGGAUAAAUCACUGCAACACAAGGUAUUCUUUAGGAAGAAGCUCAUCACGCUGACACAACAUCCCCGCCUCCAACGUGACGUUUCCCAGAUCUGUUUCACGUCAAACCCUGAGUUACCUGAGUCAGCGUGGAUUCCCUCCCGAGGUCCCCCAUCCUGUGUGUCAAUGUGAGCCAGACUUCAGACCAAACACUCUCUCUAAGGGGGACAAGAAGACAAAUCAAGAGUAGCCCGUCAGAGCUGACAGAUCCUCAGUCAGAAACCAGAGAGGAGAAUUAUAGAACCGCCAAUCAUGUCAACACCCACGCUGACAUCCUGCCUUCCUCAACAGCUCCUGUUUUAUAAUGGAGAUCCACCUCAGCAAACAGAGACGGCGUGGUCCGGGGGUCAUGAUGCAGACGGGCAGGGUUUCGGGGUAGGAUUGAGGUCUCUGAAGGGCUCAGAGAGACGCGGACCCUGCAGGCGAGACAGCAGCGUGGUUCGCCGGAUGCUGCUGUCCGAGUCCUGGUGGGUGAACUUGUUUCUGAGAGGACGGCAGCACGGCAUGCUGCUGGCGAAGUCCGAGAGGAGGUGCCCGCUGAAUAUCAUGUAGAUCCACGGGUUGCAGCAGCUGUUGAGGCUGGCGAGCAGAGCGGAGAGCGUCACGGCCGCGUUUUCAGAGUCUGCAGAGGGAAACAAAAACACCGAGUUAUCAGGCACGCUCGGAGAUGUCAACAGCUCAUCUGAGCUGUUUACUUUUUCUCUUUAGGGAGUUUCUCUGUGUGUUGGAGUUUCUGACCCCGUGCCUGUUACAUGUUUAUUCAGACCCAGUUUGAACCUCAGGUUUUAUUCUCUCUGGGUUUACAUUGAAGACUUACGCAACAAAGAUCUUAUCCUGUUUCUGAGAGAAGCUGCUGGAGGACAAUUCUUGAAAAUAUCUUUACCCUGCUAAUAUAAAAAAUAUAGGUUUAUAUAAGUGUUGUAGUCACGACCACGCUAACUGAGACCAAGACCAGAGACUGAGACAAGUCCAAGACCACCACUGAAAAAUCAUCAGGAGAGUUAACAAAAUAAAAGACCUCUUUUUUCUUUUUGUAAAUAUUCAAGAAAUACAUAAAGACAUUAAAUUGCAUAAAAUCUGUUUCUACAACUUGCAUUGAUUUUAAUAAUGUCUAACCCUAACCCCCCCACUAAACAUUUAUUUCCCUCCAUCCUGAGAAUAUUCGUGCACACGAAUCUUAGUCUUUCUGCACGGUUUAUAAUAAUGAUCUACUUUUAUGUCCUUUUUCAUGUCAUGUAUAAAACUCUUGUUCUGCCUUCAGCUGUAAUCUUUCCACAUUCAUGAUAAAUGCAUUUCUUUAAACACAUUUCAAA